Leopardus geoffroyi (Geoffroy's cat) is the source of this 313-nucleotide long non-coding RNA. RefSeq lists it as uncharacterized. The transcript has 2 exons. NCBI's taxonomy places the organism in Eukaryota, Metazoa, Chordata, Mammalia, Carnivora, Felidae. The record is from RefSeq and is a predicted model, not a curated record.
GGUCAUGCGGCUGACAUCAGUCAUGGUCGGGGUAAUGGUGAGGAGUCGCAGAGCAGGUACAUGUCCAUUGGGAACUGUCUUUGAGAACAAAUAAGCAAGGCUUGGGAGCAGCUGGUAUUGAGAAUCUGAUUUGCUGAGAAGAUGGAGGAACCAGUCACCAGGGAGUGUCCAGCUUUUCUGGCUUUUGUGGCCUGUUCCAUAGGUCUUUAGAGCCCAUGGGAACCUGUGUCUCUACUGGCUGCUCCCUAAAAACAAGCCUCCAUUACUUGAGUGGGAAUGGAAUCUUUGGCCAUUAAAGGAGGCAGGAAAUGCA